This 253-nucleotide ribosomal RNA is filed under the name uncultured bacterium. RNAcentral's name for it is "partial 16S ribosomal RNA". It matches the Rfam family "Bacterial small subunit ribosomal RNA", at positions 524 to 776 of the family's 1533-position model. The record is from RNAcentral.
GACGAGCUCUCCAAACGUUAUUCGGUAUCACUGGGCUUAAAGAGUUCGUAGGCGGCUUGACAGGUGAGGUGUGAAAGCCCACGGCCUAACCGUGGAAUUGCGCUUCAAACCGUCGGGCUAGAGGGAUGCAGGGGUAUGCGGAACAGAUGGUGGAGCGGUGAAAUGCGUUGAUAUCAUCUGGAACACCGGUGGCGAAAGCGGCGUACUGGGCAUUUUCUGACGCUGAGGAACGAAAGCUAGGGUAGCGAACGGG